UUUUGAAAGAAAAAGUGUUUGAGUACUCUUGCUUUCCUUAUGGCUUGCUAAACAUUUGCUUGCCACAAAAUAAGGAAAAACACUUGCUGAGAGUGAUAGCAUCCAGAAAGAAAGACUUGAGAUCGUAUACAUGAUUUAACAUAAAGAAGAAGAGGAGAGCCACCAUGGGAAGCCGCAAAGAACAGUCACAAAUAACCCCCUGUAGUCCAACUAUUUUCUAUUUUUAUUAUGCAAUGGUCGUGGAUAACCCCCAUCGGCUACUCUUCUUCCUUUUCUCUUUAUUGUUAAUUGUUGCUUUCUAUGUUGAAAGACAUGUUUGCAUCUCAUAUUUAUGUUUUCAAUUUCAUAAUGCAUGACUUAAUUUUUUUUAUUUAGAA
RNAcentral lists this long non-coding RNA (377 nucleotides) under Gossypium barbadense (sea-island cotton). Its description in RNAcentral is "long non-coding RNA (GBAR_LNC021729)". Lineage: Eukaryota; Viridiplantae; Streptophyta; Magnoliopsida; Malvales; Malvaceae. The record is from RNAcentral.